This 2503-nucleotide long non-coding RNA is filed under the name Mytilus galloprovincialis (Mediterranean mussel). The record is from RNAcentral. Lineage: Eukaryota; Metazoa; Mollusca; Bivalvia; Mytilida; Mytilidae.
UACCUAGUUUAAAUUUUAAUGAUAAGUACAGCAAAAAAGUACAAAAAUACACAUUAUAACAAUAUUAAUGGUAUUGGGUAAAAAUUCUACGACAAAAACAAUAACAGUAGUUAUUUUUUUAAUUUUUACACCAUAUAGCACAAGAAUUAAUAUAAAGUUUCAACAAAUAUAAAAAGCACUUUAGAAUAUACCUGUAUACAACAUAUCAAUAUUUUUUUUAACAACUUAACAAAUUUUAGUACUUUAUAACUAUUUUUCCCAUACUAUAUUAUUUUGAACGUUACAAAUCUAUUUUGAAUUUCAAUUAGUUCAUACGUGAAGUACCAUGUUUACAUACAAAUUGUGCCGCAGUGAAAUAGAAAACUACCGUAAUUGAUAGAUCUUGUAAGUGAUUACAUGUGCCAAAUAUUUUUAGUUAUUUUAUACCGGUAGUUCUAUUUAAUAUAGAAAAAUCUAUAAUUAAUGAAUCAUUUCACAAUUGAAUUGUUAAUAUGGUCAAUAUAUACUUGAGAUUUUCUUUAAUCUUUUAAAGAAUGAUUUAUAUAUUCAAAUGGAAAUAUACAUCUGAAGAAUUACAAAGACCAAAAGGUAAAGUUCUUUUGAGCAUGUAUCCAUAAUCUUGAAAGUUAUAAACUAUAGUAAUUCGGUAACUAUGGUUAGACCUUGAACUUAUUGUGUCAAUUGUAGAUUUCCAUCAAAUCACAUUGCUGUCUUUGUAUCUAAUAAUUUUUCUUUGAGUCUGUACUUUCAUUUUGUAAAUAUCUACAUGUAUAUCUCAAUAUGUUUACUUCUAUAUCAUUAGUAUAGUGUUUUUUUAACUUAAUGUACAAUGACAAUUCUUGUCAUCCUCAAUUUGUGUUGCAUUGCAAAGACUAUAAUUUUAAAGAUAACUAAAACAGAAGCUAGAACAGGUUAAGUUACAAUUAAGGGGAGACUAUCUAUUAAAUGUUCAAGCUCCAUUUCAAUAUUUUUUCAUUUAUAAUUUCUUAAAUGUGGUACUUUAAAACAAGCACAAAUUAAUGUGAGAUUCCUUAUAAGUAUGUAUACAUAAUAAAGCAUUCAAUGCUAUUUUACUUGUGAUGAGGCCACAUAAAUACUUACAAAUUAGUUUAAACAUUUUUUAUAACCAGACAUUUAUUACUUGAAAUUUAAAUAGAUGAUUAAUUACAACAUGAAAAGCCGAUUUUAUUUGUGGCCUCCAAUUCUUGUCUUCUGUGUUUCUAAACAAAUCUCUUAAUCACAAAGUGAAUUUAAACAUCUUCUGUAAAUUUUAGCAAUCUGUCAGCAUUUAAUCAAUUGGCACAAAAAUAUGACCAUCUAUUAAAGAUUUUUUUUGUUGAAUAUAUUUUAUAUAGUUUUAGUUUUUCUUGAUUAGGUUCAUGGUGUAUGACAAAUCACAUUAAAAAUCUUUUUGAGUGUUUUUAACAUCAUCUGUAUCAAAUUAUAUUUAAGUACAAUUAUUCUAGUAUCAGUUUUUAUCCCUCAUAAAAAUUACUAUUUGAUAUAUAAGUAAUUAGUAUGCUCUACACUAUAUCUGAAUUUUAUAUAUUCAUGAUUUACUUACUACAUGUUACAUGCAAACUAAAUCUUAACAACGAUAGAUAUUAUACAAUAUAUUACACAUUGUCAAUAAGAGAAUAUAUUUACUUCACAUGACUGGAAUGAUUGAAAGAUUAAUGAAAAGCUGCGUCAAAUCCAAAUUUGUCUAAAGUUCAAAGGUUAAACAAAACCAGAAUGACUCUGUAAAUUCAUUUUAGUACAAGUGAUUUGUUGUCGAAAAAGCUUAAAAUAGCGUGUUUAUCAAGAUUUUACUUUUUCAACAUUUAAUAGCAAUAGUUUUGAAAAGAAGGAAUUAUGUGGUCUGCGAGAUCAAAGUUCAAAGUUCACACUUCCAAAUGGUCGCUGAGUUCAACACCAUUUACAAUAUAUCUAAACCCAAAGUUAGAUCAGAACAGUCCAUGAUUUGGUUUGUUCAGAACAACAUCCAUUGAUAAAAUAUAUCGUCACACAUCACCAGACAAAUUUUUUAUUUAUUCAUUGGUACAUGAUAUCUGCCAGGAUAAACAACAGUAACCAAAACAUAGUGUAAGUGUGAACACAUAUCUUAUUGUUCUCAUCUCGUCACCAAAGAACGCCGAAAAAUUGUCACAAUAUUUGUUUUGUUAAAUGUUUUUGCCCGUUAGUCCGCAACUUGAUGAUAUUACAUAAGAAAGCCAAAUUUUUAUUCAUCUUUGGAUGUGUCAAAGAUUUUUAAGACAUCCUUAAUAGUGCAAGAAAGUCAAUUUUAACCAAAAUGCUAAUUUAUCUAAACAGUACUCAAAGUCUGAGAAACUUCUUCAAGAUCUACAGAUGCACUUCUAAACACUGGUCAUGAACUGAACUGAUCUAACCACAAAAGACAGCAACUGUCAACAAUAAUAUUGUAAAUGAAAUACAUACAUUCAUUUAAUAUUUAUACAAUUCUAUCUAUAGUAACAUAAAAAAUAUUAAUGACGAAGAAAAA